AAGCUAAGCACUGUCCCCAACUGCUGUACAAUACUGAUAAUGCUCUUACAGUUAAGAGGGCUGAAUGGCAGACCUUGUUAAAUAAUAUUUUAUGUUUCUUCCUCAUAAUGUGUUAUAUUUUAUAAAUAUAUUCUUAUAUAUCUUAUAUUACUUUUUGCCUUUUCUUAUACGUUGAAAUGGGAGAAGAGGGGAUCAAUGCUGCUGUGAAGGUGAUCCUGCACAAGGACAUGUCUUUGUAACUGUGCCGGUGCCCAUCGUCAGUCCCUUCUCUAUCCGUUACUGGACCUGGAUCUGGAUCUCGAUCUGGACACUCAUUACCAGCUUGUGCAUCUCACUGCUGAUAUCAUGAUGCUACUUAACUAUCUUCGCAGCACCCCCUCUAGGAAUGGAGAUCCGGGGUUCCCCCCUCUUCUUCGAUACAGAAUCUGCCCCGUGAACGUGCGUGUUGACGCCUCUACACAGUCAGAACCCCCCUCCAGCUUCCAGUCCGAGGAUGAUGUCGUCUUCUCUGAUCCGGGCCCCGACCAUUCGUCCCUCUUCUCACCUACCAGUCCGCACGACUCUCAGUGGUGGGGGCAGGGGCCUAUGCCUAGAAAUGGCCCUGGCUGACAGUGCGGAAUCCACAGCAAAGC
Ictalurus punctatus (channel catfish) is the source of this 632-nucleotide long non-coding RNA. The record is from Ensembl. Lineage: Eukaryota; Metazoa; Chordata; Actinopteri; Siluriformes; Ictaluridae.